AAGAGAGGGGAAAGUAUCUUUGUGGGACUGGAGUCAGCUUGAGCUUGGAGUUCUUGAAACAGAAGUGUGAUGACCCAGCCACAAGGAAGCUGAGAGAGAAACUGCUAAGCAAGGAAAAGCUUACAGGUUCCCAGAAAGAUCUGCUCCUACCAGUCAGUGCUAGUGGCACAGUCCCAGAAUCAGAGCUUGAUGGUCUAGAGGCAUCCAUGGAGUCCUAAGUGGCCUCAUCCUUGUCAGCCAUGCAAGAAUUGGUGGCCCAGUCCAGGAUGCUUAGUGGACAUGGGUUGCAGUGGUUGCCCUCUCAUGGGAUGUCUGACUGCUGGCCUGAGGGCAUGAAGCUGCAUGUCAUGGUGACCAGGGUCUGGGUCAUGUCCAGUUCUGCUACAUCCUUUGAACAUGGGGAACCAGAACUGCGUGGGAUCUACCAUGGAUUUAUAAAGUGGGGCUGAAGAUUGGGCUGAUGUGGAUAGAGAAUUACCCACACUAAUUCUAGAACUUCUUUCUUCAGUAGUAAUAGUUAAUGUAGAGCCUGUCAUCAAGUAUUUGUAUCUAAGCCUUCUGUACAUCACUUGUCAAUAUUGAACCUUAUCUAUCAUCUUUUUUGCCCAUUCACUCAAUAUUACAAGAUGCUUCUGCUGUUCUUCACAGUCAGGCUUUUUUUUUUUUUUUUUUUUUUUUUUUUUUGCCAACCUGAAUCAUUUGGUCUCAUCCACAAACUUGGCCAUUUGUUGCUCAUCCCUCUUUCAAAAAAAUUAUGAAUAUGAACAUUGGGCACAGGCCUAAUACUGACCCUUUGAGGACCCUACUGCUUAUCUACCUCCGCUAUGAGAACUGACCAUUUAUAUCCAUACUUUGUUUCCUGCCUUAAUUUUAUUAAGAGCCUUUGGUGCAGAAUUUUCUCUAUAUCUUGUUUUGAAAGUCCAGAUACAUUAUAGCAACUGGAUCACCCUGAUCAACACAUGCUUGUUGAUGCCCUGAAAGUACUUAGUAGAUUGGUGAAGUAUAAUCUCCCUUUAUAAAAGCCAUGGUUUCCCCACAAAUCCUGUUAAUCCAUGUGACAGAAAAUGCUUUUGUUUUUCUUUUUUUUAAUUCUUGUAAUUUUUCAGGAUCAAAAGUUAGAUUCACUGGUCUGAAGUUCCCUAGAUUCCCUCUGGAGCCCUUUAUAAAGACUGUCAUUGCAUUGGCUACUCUACAGUCCUCUGGUACAGAGGCUGCUUUUGGUGAGAGAUAUAUGUGUCAGUUGAGCUGCAAACUCAAGUCUGAACUACUUCAGCAUGCUUAGGUGAAUACCAUCCUGUCUGGUGAUUUGCCACUAUUUAGUUUAUCAAUUUCCUGUAUGAGAUCUUCUGUUAACACUUCAUUUGGAGUCAGAUCUACUGAUUUGUCCACUGAAGGAAGUGACACUGUAUAGGA
Molecule: long non-coding RNA, 1413 nt
Organism: Alligator mississippiensis (American alligator)
Lineage: Eukaryota; Metazoa; Chordata; Crocodylia; Alligatoridae
Exons: 4
Source: RefSeq, a predicted model, not a curated record